AUGCUUCUACAAGCAUCAUUGUAGAAGCUUCUACAAUCUUCUACAAAGAUUGCCAGUAAGCCACUGGAAGCUUGGGAAAAGCCACGAGGCUGAUUCUCCCUUGCAGCCCUCAGCUUUGAUUUCAGAUUCCUAGCCUCCA
Small nucleolar RNA from Lontra canadensis (Northern American river otter), 139 nucleotides. RefSeq annotates it as small nucleolar RNA SNORA14. The transcript has a single exon. NCBI's taxonomy places the organism in Eukaryota, Metazoa, Chordata, Mammalia, Carnivora, Mustelidae. The record is from RefSeq and is a predicted model, not a curated record.